This is a long non-coding RNA of Felis catus (domestic cat), 2984 nucleotides long. RefSeq lists it as uncharacterized. The transcript is spliced from 3 exons. The record is from RefSeq and is a predicted model, not a curated record. Lineage: Eukaryota; Metazoa; Chordata; Mammalia; Carnivora; Felidae.
CAUUCCCUAAGAUUCCAUCCUUAGACUUUCAUUCUCCAUCAGCUCAAUUUUUCUCCUCUCCUAUGACUCCCACCUCACCCACCACCACUUCUAAGCCCACAUCAUUUUAUCAACUCUUCCAAGUUCCAAAGUCACUUUCCUAACUACAUGCUGAAUAUUUCCAACUGUGUGUCACCAUUUCUUCAAACACAACAUGACUAGAACAGAAUUCAUUACACAAGUUAGGGCCUUCUCUACUAACCUUCCUUCUCCACACCACCUGACUUCUUCUCCUGACUUGUCUCUCUCUCCCUCUCUCUCCCUCUCUCUCCCUCCCCCCUCCCCCAUGCCUGUUAUAGGUACCAUUCAGGAGCAAUUCCUGGGAACAGCGACACCGGCAAGGGAACCAGCAGAAAUGAUGAGUGCCACUCGGUCAAGAUAUGAGGACACACUGCUUCUCCCUGUUGCACUGCCCCUCCUCUGGCCUCCAAACUGAGCUCGGUAUUGGAAGAAACAAGUAACAUCUCCAAUAAAAAGUCACCUCUAAGUUGUCCAGACUUAAAACAUUUAAAAGCAAAGACAGGAUUUAGGAGUUAAUGAAAGAAAAGGAGCUUUGCCAAGGACUUCCGGAGGAAGCUGUGAUUCUUACUCAAUGGGCAGCAUAUCUACCUGGAUCAACAAAUUUCACUCUCUUCAUCAGGGAAACCUGUGCUUUGAGUCCUGCCACCAACACAUAUUAACUUUGUAAACUCAGACACCCCACUCCACCCACCCCAGUCAACAUCCUCAGAGAAAAGGCUCUUCAAGAUUCUGGAACUGAUCACAGCAGAUGCAGCCUUUGCUCAGGAUUUUUUUAAGUGAUGGCUCACCAAUCCCUGAAACCAGAGGUGUUCUCCACGUUUCAGCAGAUAACUCCAUGACCAGGUGUUUAAAAUCCUGGGGUAAUAUCGCAUCAUGAUGAAAGGGAUCAAAUAUGAAAAGAAGGCUGUGGAAGACAUUUCCCAAAUACUUCAGAUCUUGUAGGAUAUUCUGGGCUCGAAAAAGCCCGAAGUUGGAGGAAAAGGAGGAAGGGGAGGUCGACCACUCAUUUACUAAAGAAAACGUGCUUCCACUUUGACCUGCUGUGUAUGAAUUUGCAAAAUCCCCCUUCAUUCCAGCAAGAUCCAAUUUGUGCUUGAAUAGGCGCUUCUCUGGCUGGAGCAGAAAGGGCAUGGGUUUGACCGGGCACUGUGUCUGUUUGCUACGGGUCCUUGGGCUGCUGACUAAGUCUUGGGACGGAGUUUGUUUUCAGGUCUGGAGCCAGGAAAACAUUCCCCUUGAUGCGCACAUAUUUGCAGUGUGACACAUGGCUUGGAAGCCUAUCACAUAGACUGGAGCGGCCGCCUGAUUUGUUUCCCAGGAAAGAUUGUCUUCAUGAGAUAUUAUUAGGGAUGAAUGCUGUGUGCGAUGCGCACCGGCCGAGGACAGUAGCCACCUAACUUCAAAGGCUCCCCCCUCUCAGGCCCCUGCAAGCUGGGCUGUGCCAGCCAUAGGCCCAAAAAAGAUCUUUCAGCAGGGAGGGGACUGUGACUUGCCCAGUAGCUGCAUUUGAGAAUCAAAGGGCAGAUUUCAGGGAGUGAUAGGAUGUUUGUCUGGAGCAGGGCUUGGGGACUGCUUUCAUGUGCCGCUGAAGGAACAGAGAGCAGCAUGAAUUCUGAUUGAAUGGUUGGCUCUGGUAUAUGCUUGAAUUAAAACCAAAGUAAACAAGAAAACACCUGCCACUUAACCAGUGAUGCACUUGGCACCACAAGAGGCAGACUAAUGCAGGGGGUUGGGACAAGAGUGUGCUGAAAAUGUCUUGGACCAAUCCACUUGUUCUAGAAGAUGGUGCCAAAAUGCUAGAAAAGUUCUUCUGCAAAGAAGCUAAAAAGAAUGCAGAGUAUUUCACCAGAAGAGCAAAAUGCCCAGGAAAGGGUAUAACAAAACGUUUUGUUUCAUAGGCUGUUUCCAUUACUAGCUGACAAAGAAGGAGGAAAUGGCUUUCUACUUGUCUGGUAGGAAUUUGGGUAAGACUAUCAGAACUCUUGCUGUAACAACAGUGGGGAGGGAAACAGGGAAGCUAAUGGAACACGUGCUUCAGUGAAUUUUUUUUUCCCCAGUAAGCUCUACACUCAAUGUGGGGCUUGAACUCACAACCCUGAAAUCAAGCCUGCCUCUACGGACAGGCUCCCCACCUGGGGGCCUGUAUGUUAGGAACGGUGCAGGGCCACCUACAAUUCCACGCAACGAGUUUCAAACACUGUCAUGAGUUAUUUUCUACAUAAUCUUUUUACCUAAAGAACCACUUCUGUUAUGUUAUUACCUCCGACAGCAAUGAGGCAAUAGAGGGGAUUAAAAAUAAUCACAAUGAGAAAUAAAAUGUCACGCAUGUAGUGAACAGUAAAUAAGUUCUUAAUGAAUGAAACUGGAUUUUUAGAAACAAUGAAGUACGAACAGGAAAAAGUGGGAGAUUGUGGGCAUGCUUAUUUUAAUUUUCUAAGUAUAUGUUCUUGUUCUAAGUAUAUGUUUUCAGCAAUUUGGAGCUCACUCCAGAUUCUAAAUCGCCCUUCCUGAGAUUCACACCUCUACAAAAUUAGGUUAGGUCGCCCUCUGGUGGCGUGGAGCUAAUCUUUCUUCUCACAAAGUGUAUCUUCUGUUACCUUUACGAUAGAAGUUCAGUAUUCUGUUCUACAGCGCUUUCACAUAGAACAAACACAAACUCACAACUUUGCAGAAUGAAGAAAUCAUAAGCAUCUAAUUAUGGUUCCUGUUUAAUUUCUUGCAAAGAGUUCAAAAAGCAAUUUGAAGUUCUUGAAGAACUUAAGGAAUAUUUACUGCACUACUAUAUCAAAAGAGGUGUCCGUAUUACUGAGAUUAAUUGAACGACUAUGUUCAAGAGAAAAGAAAAAAAUUUAGUAAUAGAGUUUCAGUAAUUGUCCAAGCAACAAGAUUAAUCAAUAAACAUUAUUCUAAUCUUGAUACUGUCA